This 468-nucleotide ribosomal RNA is filed under the name uncultured bacterium. Its description in RNAcentral is "partial 16S ribosomal RNA". It matches the Rfam family "Bacterial small subunit ribosomal RNA", at positions 28 to 507 of the family's 1533-position model. The record is from RNAcentral.
GACGAACGCUGGCGGCGUGCUUAACACAUGCAAGUCGAACGGAAAGGCCCUGCUUUUGUGGGGUGCUCGAGUGGCGAACGGGUGAGUAACACGUGAGUAACCUGCACUUGACUUUGGGAUAACUUCAGGAAACUGGGGCUAAUACCGGAUAGGAGCUCCUGCUGCAUGGUGGGGGUUGGAAAGUUUCGGCGGUUGGGGAUGGACUCGCGGCUUAUCGGCUUGUUGGUGGGGUAGUGGCUUACCAAGGCUUUGACGGGUAGCCGGCCUGAGAGGGUGACCGGCCACAUUGGGACUGAGGUACGGCCCAGACUCCUACGGGAGGCAGCAGUGGAGAAUAUUGCACAAUGGGCGGAAGCCUGAUGCGGAAACGCCGCGUGCGGGAUGACGGCCUUCGAGUUGUAAACCGCUUUCGCCUGUGACGAAGCGUGAGUGACGGUAAUGAGUAAAGAAGCACCGGCUAACUACGUG